Molecule: ribosomal RNA, 1010 nt
Filed under: uncultured Pseudomonadota bacterium
Lineage: Bacteria; Pseudomonadati; Pseudomonadota
Description: bacterial SSU rRNA
Rfam family: Bacterial small subunit ribosomal RNA
Source: RNAcentral
UGCAAGUCGAACGCAGUAGCAAUACUGAGUGGCAGACGGGUGAGUAACAUGUGGGAAUCUGCCUUGUGGUUCAGGACAACAUUGGGAAACCGAUGCUAAUACUGGAUAAGCCCUUACGGGGAAAGUUUUAAUGCCAUAAGAUGAGCCCGCAUUUGAUUAGUUAGUUGGUGAGGUAAUGGCUCACCAAGACAAUGAUCAAUAGCUGAUCUGAGAGGAUGAUCAGCCACACUGGGACUGAGACACGGCCCAGACUCCUACGGGAGGCAGCAGUGGGGAAUCUUGCACAAUGGAGGAAACUCUGAUGCAGCGAUGCCGCGUGAGUGAAGAAGGCCUUUGGGUUGUAAAGCUCUUUUGUAGGGGAAGAUAAUGACUGUACCCUAAGAAUAAGGUCCGGCUAACUUCGUGCCAGCAGCCGCGGUAAUACGAAGGGACCUAGCGUAGUUCGGAAUUACUGGGCGUAAAGCGCGCGUAGGCCGUUGAGUUAGUUAAUUGUGAAAUCCCAAAGCUUAACUUUGGAACUGCAAUUAAAACUGCUCGACUAGAGUUUGAUAGAGGAAAGCGGAAUACAUAGUGUAGAGGUGAAAUUCGUAGAUAUUAUGUAGAACACCAGUUGCGAAGGCGGCUUUCUGGAUCAACACUGACGCUGAGGCGCGAAAGUAUGGGUAGCAAAGAGGAUUAGAUACCCUCGUAGUCCAUACCAUAAACGAUGAUUGCUAGAUGUUGGAAAUUUAUUUUCAGUAUCGCAGCUAACGCAUUAAGCAAUCCGCCUGGGGAGUACGACCGCAAGGUUAAAACUCAAAUGAAUUGACGGGGACCCGCACAAGCGGUGGAGCAUGUGGUUUAAUUCGAAGAUACGCGCAGAACCUUACCAACCCUUGACAUGUCUGUCGCGAGUUUAGGAAACUAGACUUUUCGGUUCGGCCGGACAGAACACAGGUGCUGCAUGGCUGUCGUCAGCUCGUGUCGUGAGAUGUUGGGUUAAGUCCCGCACGAGCGCAACCCCUACUUUU